GUCUUAGUCCUAGCCUCUUGAAAACUAAUUUCCUGUAGGGGAAAGAGCUGUUAAGGUGGCUGUCAAAGUGUUGUGCAGCACAAAUUUCUCUUCUUUUUCUCGAUCUUGUCUUUUUUUUUGCCCUAAUCUUCUUUCUUUUUCUUUUUUAUUUUUUUAGAGAUAUCAGGUGUGGGUAAACCUACAUAACCUGUAUUAACCUUCUGAUGAAGAGCUGAGAUUAUUUCAUGUUUUAAAAAGGAAAAAGAAAAACUCAAAAGCCAAAAUAUUACAAGAGCACGCCUCGCCUCAGGUCUGAGGUGCACGCCUCGCCUCAGGUCUGAGGUGCACGCCUUACACAUGUCGCCUGCCUUUCUUAGCUUGACAACUAUGUGGUUUACUAUCACAGAAGUCCACCUUUGGAAAUAAAAUCUUUUGAGAAGAAAACCCUUAACAUCAACAGUUAUUAUUAUAUAAUAGUGAUAUUGGAAAUUACAUGCAAUUAAUUCAUUAUCCAUUUAUUCCAAGUAAUGGAUCCAAUUCAAUUCCAAGAACAUGGACAUUAUUCAGAAC
This 549-nucleotide long non-coding RNA is filed under the name Ricinus communis (castor bean). RNAcentral's name for it is "long non-coding RNA (RCOM_LNC000724)". Lineage: Eukaryota; Viridiplantae; Streptophyta; Magnoliopsida; Malpighiales; Euphorbiaceae. The record is from RNAcentral.